AACGCUAGCUACAGGCUUAACACAUGCAGGUCGAGGGGCAGCGCAGUGUAGCAAUACAUGGGCGGCGACCGGCGCACGGGUGCGUAACGCGUAUCCAACCUUCCCGUUACUCAGGGAUAGCCUUCCGAAAGGGAGAUUAAUACCUGAUGGUGUUCAAAUUCCGCAUGUUAUUUGAACUAAAGAUUUAUCGGUAACGGAUGGGGAUGCGUGACAUUAGGUAGAUGGCGGGGUAACGGCCCACCAUGCCUACGAUGUCUAGGGGUUCUGAGAGGAAGGUCCCCCACACUGGAACCGAGACACGGUCCAGACUCCUACGGGAGGCAGCAGUGAGGAAUAUUGGUCAAUGGCCGGAAGGCUGAACCAGCCAAGUAGCGUGAAGGAUGAAGGUUCUAUGGAUUGUAAACUUCUUUUAUACGGGAAUAAAACCUCCCACGUGUGGGAGCUUGUAUGUACCGUAUGAAUAAGCAUCGGCUAACUCCGUGCCAGCAGCCGCGGUAAUACGGAGGAUGCGAGCGUUAUCCGGAUUUAUUGGGUUUAAAGGGAGCGUAGACGGGAUGUUAAGUCAGUUGUGAAAGGCUGCGGCUCAACCGCAGCACUGCAGUUGAUACUGGCGUCCUUGAGUGCGGUUGAGGUGUAUGGAAUUCGUGGUGUAGCGGUGAAAUGCUUAGAUAUCACGAAGAACUCCGAUUG
Molecule: ribosomal RNA, 690 nt
Filed under: uncultured bacterium
Lineage: Bacteria
Description: bacterial SSU rRNA
Rfam family: Bacterial small subunit ribosomal RNA
Source: RNAcentral